RNAcentral lists this ribosomal RNA (497 nucleotides) under uncultured bacterium. RNAcentral's name for it is "partial 16S ribosomal RNA". It matches the Rfam family "Bacterial small subunit ribosomal RNA", at positions 28 to 507 of the family's 1533-position model. The record is from RNAcentral.
GAUGAACGCUGGCGGCGUGCCUAAUACAUGCAAGUCGAGCGAACAGAUGAGGAGCUUGCUCCUCUGACGUUAGCGGCGCACGGGUGAGUAACACGUGGAUAACCUACCUAUAAGACUGGGAUAACUUCGGGAAACCGGAGCUAAUACCGGAUAAUAUAUUGAACCGCAUGGUUCAAUAGUGAAAGACGGUUUUGCUGUCACUUAUAGAUGGAUCCGCGCCGCAUUAGCUAGUUGGUAAGGUAACGGCUUACCAAGGCAACGAUGCGUAGCCGACCUGAGAGGGUGAUCGGCCACACUGGAACUGAGACACGGUCCAGACUCCUACGGGAGGCAGCAGUAGGGAAUCUUCCGCAAUGGGCGAAAGCCUGACGGAGCAAUGCCGCGUGAGUGAUGAAGGUCUUCGGAUCGUAAAACUCUGUUAUUAGGGAAGAACAAAUGUGUAAGUAACUAUGCACGUCUUGACGGUACCUAAUCAGAAAGCCACGGCUAACUACGUG